ACAAGUGUGCUCCCAGCUGAGGUCAUGUGGGUCUGUGAAUGGCUUUAGAGUGGGAUUGGUGGCGUGUCUUUGUGUUUUACUGCUGCAGAAACCAGGUCUGCAACACUAACGAGAUGCAGCUGCCAGCUCAGGUGCCUGAUGGCAGAGUACGACUGAAACAAAGGAGAAGCCCAGACGAGUUCUUGUUUUCCUUCUAAAUAACUUGCACUGCUGUGAGGACAGGGAUUGCAUCCUUUGCUGCACUUCACAGAGCCUCCCACUCUCCUGAGCCUGAGGACUGCUCUGAGCACAGAGGGAAACCAGAAUGAGCCAAUGCUGAGGACACCUCUGAAUACUCUGGAGACUGUGCCUUUGACUUAUUGUUGUCCCUUAAAUGUGACCUGGUGCACAAGGGAGCAGCAACCCAAGGAAAGGAACCACAAAAGAAGCUUUGGAGAAAGCAGGAUACCCUUUUCUCUAGCAUUGGCAUAUAAUCAGUUCCUCUCUGAGGCUUUCCUUUCUGUAUUUCUUUUCUGUACCUGAGGUGCAAAUGAAAGGCAAACAAUAUGGGUCAGGUGUGAUGGUCUUGGGUAAUGAACAGCUGGGAAUAAUUACCUACAACCAGGAGGAAGGAUGAUGGAUGGAGGCAUGGACCAGCUGUGUGGCAUCUUCAGCUGGCUGCUGUGAAGGGGGGAAUCAGAAAUGCCCAGAGAAAUUGCUUGGAUGGGCUGUGGGGCUGAGGCAAAAUAUUAGUGCCAGGAACAGGCUACAGAACCCUGCUGGGGAAACACUUUCAGGGACAUUUCUUAUUGUGAGACCCCUACGCUUCCUUCUGUAAAAUGUAAUAUUAGCCUUGGCUUCCAUCAAGACAUACAUUUUCUUAAUGGGCUGUGGGAAGCCUCUGCUCCACUCUUUUUAGCCUGGAACUGUGAGCUGAGGUGUUCCACUGCCUUGCCGUGUAAUAUGAAGCAAAAGCAGAGAAUGUCAAGGAGAAAGGGGCUGCAGGCGGGGGUCAGCCCGAAUGUUCACAGGGGAACAAAUGCCCUUCUAAAGGUCUGGGAUGCUGUGCCUGAGGAGGGAGGAAUGAGUGGAGCCAGAGAGCCCCUGCUUUCUGGGAUAGCAGAGCCAAACUCACAUGUCAUGGGCUAUGUUAUAUGGCUGGGACAGUUCCUGUAGACACCAGCUUCUCCCCAUGGCUAUUUCCUACAGCUGGGGCUGGGAGAUUGCUGUCACCAAAAUGCAUGAGAAUCUCCUGCAUAGCCAGGAGGCCAGUGAAGAGCCCAGGAAACUGUUCCCCUUAAAUAGUUAAACGUCUGCCUCUCGACAAGCACAAUGUCACAUUGAAUUUGAAACAGGGAACUUUUUAUAUUUUCCCCCCUGAUUGUGCUGGCACCUGGCAGAUGCCUGUUUACCACAGGCAUCCAUACACACAGCAAUCAAAGGAAAUCAGAGGCACGGAUUAGCAACAGCUGCAAGUCAUUAGUGGCAGCCAUGGGAAAGCACAGCUCUGCACCCCGCUUCGAAAUAACCAACGUGAGUAUUCCAGAGCGCAGGGGUUACCGCGGGGCACUCUGCGGGCACCAGGGACAGCAAACAAUUGCCUCACUUGUCUCUGGAGAUGGCUUCUUCCCUCUGCCCAAGGCAGCAGUGUGUUAUCGAUGAAUCAAUCACACUUUAUUGGCCCACUGAACAUUAACUCUUUGGGAGGCUGACUUUCGCCAGCCGGGAGUUGUCAGAACUGGAGGAUGGGGUCUCCACCUGUACAAAAUUUCUUGUUAUCCUUUGUUUUCUUUGGGCUGACUGUUGGCAUCUUUGGCAGUGUCUCAACACAAGUGAGGACUUGGGAUCUCCUAGAGUUAAUGCUCAUUUUACAGGAAGUUUUAUUAGAGCGAAUGUAAAGCAAAAGCUGACCAAAAGCCUUAUUUGUGUAUCUGAUUUCUUUAUUCAAUUCAUUUUGAACCAGAAUAGAGUCCAAAUUUUAUUUAAAAACUUAAUGUUGAUUGAAAUUUCCAUUGCAGAUUUAGGCAGCUUGGGUUUCUAUUUUGAUCAGUCCCCGGAAAAGCUGAUUUUACUUCAAAGCAUCUCUGACUCUUGGAGGAGCAGGAAGCUGGUGGCCUAUUAAUAGAGAGCAGAACCAGCAUCACUGAGGCACGGCUGAUUCUCCAGCAGUCCUGACAUAUUUGGCUCUAUCUGCCCUCCUUUCUCUCUGGCUCAGCAUGGCUUUCACCAUCACAGGUGCAGUCCCCAAGCUGUGUGUGUGGUCUUUGUGGUCCACAAGAAGGACCUGCCUGCCUUGCCCCAGAUAGAUGGGAACCCCAUCCCUGCCUUGCACUGGACCAUUGCCAUGAGGAGGUGGAAGCAUGUGAAGGAGUUGACACAAGAAGAUGUACAAAUGCUGAUAGCUGGUACUUCAAAAUACCCCUUGAGCUUCUGUUUUUCCUCAAGGAGGGCAAUAGGAGGAAAAGGAAUGGAAGCAAGGAAGGUAGUCACAGAGACUAGAGAAAUGGAAAGUGGGAGGGACAGGAAAAGACCUUUCCAGAAAGGUCAGGGCCAGCCUGAACCUUGUAGCUCCUGGGUUUCCUUCCAGUUGCCAAAGCUUCAGUUACUUUCAGCUUCCCACCACACACCUUAUUUCUUAUCUUCAGUCCCAAGCCUCACUAAUUACCAAGGUCUGGUCAGAUCCAGCUUUCUCCAAAUCCCUUUCUCUUAUGUUCUCUCUGCUGUUACUAGAAAAGUUGAAUUUGGUUUCCCCAAGAUAGCAUCAUUUACAUGGAGGGAAAAAUGGGAUUUAGUCUUGUCUUCCAAGGCCUCUUAAAAUGGCUCUGCAAACAGUAAGAAACAUGCAAACAGAAUAUUAAAGUUAACAAAGGGAAGAGUGAUUUAAAAGUAAAAUAAAAGUGAAUUGUCUCAAAACACCAAGUGUUGCAAAUACUUGCCUCUUCUAGUGCAAAGGUGAAACCAAGGAGAAAAGAGGGUGAAAGUAUGUUAGUUCCAACAUUCCCUCAGUUCUGCAGCUGUUUCCAUUUGAACACUAUUUUAGGAUCACAAAAGUCUACAGAGAGCAAGACAGGUAUUUGCAAAAGAGCUUCAUUGCUACUAGCUGCAGAACGUGAGGUGGCUUUUUGUGUGGUUCUUGAGGGAAGCAGACCAGCUCUGGGAAAAUUCCUGGGUAAAUGCUUGUUUUUUCAAGGAUUUACUGAUUUUCUCUUAAGUUUGUGAAAUGUUGGAAGAGUACUUUCCUCCUUCAUACUUUUGCUAAAAUGGUGAGUAAAGGAAGAUGCACAUUUUGGUAAACUAUUUCUAGGGGAGGUUUUUUUUUUGUUGUUCAGUAGGAGACACUGUUUUCUGCAUGUUUUCUGUCCUGUCUUCAGCUUAGGAGUUAGUGUUUUACUUGCUGAGUUACAAAUCAUGCUGGAUUUUGUUUUGGUACUUUAAAGUAAGACUGGGGUACCUCCUUCAGCUCAAUGUAGUCUCACUGGCUGGCGUUCAAAGUACAGUGUGCUGUGUGCGCUUGUGGUGCUCAGGUUCUGGGCACUUCUCUACCUUUGAAAUUCAUAAUGAAACUCCUUCUGUUCCAGUUAGACGUGUUAAUCCAGACAUUUUCUUGCUAAUGUUCUGAAAACGGUGGAUGAUAACUUGUACUUACACUGUGAGACUUUGUUUUUAAAACUGGCAAAUAAUCAUAUAAAUAUUAUGCCUUCAGAGAAAUUAACAUCCUAUCUUCUUGAUAUUUCUUUUUUCUUUUCUUUU
Molecule: long non-coding RNA, 3729 nt
Organism: Passer domesticus (house sparrow)
Lineage: Eukaryota; Metazoa; Chordata; Aves; Passeriformes; Passeridae
Exons: 3
Source: RefSeq, a predicted model, not a curated record